AUAAUCUCGGGAAACUGAGAAUAAGCCAGGAUAUACAAUGAACACUGGAAAGUAUUAUUGUUGAAACUUACGGCCUUAAGAUAGGGCUGCGGCUGAUUAGGUAGUUGGCGGGGUAAAUGCCCACCAAGCCAGUGAUCAGUAAGGGCUCUUAACGGAGAAGCCCUGAGAGGGACUCUGAGACACUAGUCCCAGCUCUACGGAGUGCAGCAGGUGCGAAAAUUUUCCAAUGUCCGAAAGGAUGAGAAAGGAAUCCAAAGUGCUCUCACAAAUGUGUGAGCUUUUCUUUGCUGCAAAAAAGCAGAGGAAUAAGGACUGGGCAAGACUGGUGCCAGCCGCCGCGGUAAUCCCAGCGGUCCAAGUGGCAGCCACAUUUAUUAGGUCUAAAACAUUCGUAGCCCGUCGCGCAAGUUCUUUGUGAAAUCUUCUGGCUUAACCAGGAGGCGCGCAUUGAAGACUGCCCGACUAGGGACUGGGAGACGCAAGAAGUACAGACGGGGUAGCGGUAAAAUGUUUUAAUCCCGCCUGGACUAACAACAGCGAAGGCAUCUUGCGAUAACAGCUCUGACGGUGAGGAAUGAAGGUAGGGGCGCAAAAUGGUUGAUACCCAUGUAGUCCUAGCUGUAAACACUGCACACUAAACAUUGUCCUCUCCCCGAGAGGGGGCAGUGCUGUAGCGAAGGCGAAGAGUGUGCUACCUGGGAAGU
This 704-nucleotide ribosomal RNA is filed under the name uncultured euryarchaeote. RNAcentral's name for it is "bacterial SSU rRNA". It matches the Rfam family "Archaeal small subunit ribosomal RNA", at positions 126 to 836 of the family's 1478-position model. The record is from RNAcentral. Lineage: Archaea; Methanobacteriati; Methanobacteriota.